AAUCAACGCUGGCGGCGUGCCUCAGACAUGCAAGUCGAACGAUUAAAGCUCCCUUCGGGGAGUGCAUAAAGUGGCGCACGGGUGAGUAACACGUAAGUAAUCUACCCUCGGGUGGGAAUAACGUCCGGAAACGGACGCUAAUACCGCAUAAUGCAGCGGCACCGCAAGGUGACAGUUGUUAAAGNUUUAUUGCCUGGGGAGGAGCUUGCGGCAGAUUAGCUUGUUGGAAGGUAACGGCUUACCAAGGCUACGAUCUGUAUCCGGUCUAAGAGGACGGUCGGACACACUGACACUGAAUAACGGGUCAGACUCCUACGGGAGGGCAGCAGUCGGGAAUUUUGGCAAUGGGCGCAAGCCUGACCCAGCAACG
RNAcentral lists this ribosomal RNA (370 nucleotides) under uncultured bacterium. RNAcentral describes it as "bacterial SSU rRNA". It matches the Rfam family "Bacterial small subunit ribosomal RNA", at positions 32 to 396 of the family's 1533-position model. The record is from RNAcentral.